RNAcentral lists this long non-coding RNA (3222 nucleotides) under Homo sapiens (human). RNAcentral's name for it is "HSALNT0271805". The record is from RNAcentral. Lineage: Eukaryota; Metazoa; Chordata; Mammalia; Primates; Hominidae.
UUAAUCAAGUUUGGGGGGAUUUCUGAUGUAACAUGUUACAAAUGAAGAACAUAGCAAAAAGAGUGCAGAGACCACCAUUUUCCGGAAACAACUAGCGUGAGCAUUAACUGACACUCAAAUGACGUGACAGGUGUUAGUAGUAACAAAAAUAUCCAAACAUACUCCUUCAUUUUCUUUGUGAUGAAAUCUCACCAAACUGUAAAUAUCCGAAAAUGAAGAUCACCUCAGAAUGAAGGGAAAACAGUAAGGACAAGAUGAACAAAAAUCAGGAUAAAGAAGCCUAGGCUGGAUAUAGAUGUUCUGUGUGCACCACAGAGAUGCUUGCCUCAACCAACAACCUGAACAUGCAAAGAAAAAGCUACUCCAUAUGUCAUCCCUGCCUCUUCACCAGGUUUUUGUGUCUUCGGGUUAGCCUAAGAGGAAAAAGAACACUUAGUUUCUGUAAGCAACAAGAAAUACAUCAAAGGAACAGUCUUGCAAGCCAGGAAUGCUGACAUCAAAUAAUUUUCUGUCCCUCUGCAGACUAAUCAGUCAUGAUGAGCCAGCUUUGAGCAAAACAACAGGAAGGGGAAGGAAGUGAGCCUCCAGGCCGCCCAAAUUGGUUCCUCAUCAGCCCACCCUUUGGUGCUUGGGGUAUCAUUAAAUAUAAGCUUCACAAUUAGUUCUGAUUGAUGCUACAUCUUAAUGGGUUCCACAGUACUGUCUGAGAAUAGUGUAGUUUUCCAAGUGUAGCCUGGUAUGCUUGAUAGCCAGGAACACCAUUUGAACGAUAUUAAGGAAACCACAAAAAACUGGAUUAGAUGCAAAAGGAUUGAUCCCACUUUCUGAGGAAUUUGCCUUAUGAGUCAUCACUAAGAUUGCUUGUUAUAAAAUAUUUGGAGAAAAAGAUAAUUAUUUACUCUCAACCCACUCCCCUGUCAUUUCCCAGGUUUGAGCAAGUAUAUGCUCACAGGAACUUAAGUCUGUCAUGACCACUUGAGAAUGAGGCAGUUGAUUGAUCAGUUUUCUGAAGUGAUAAUUUCUUUGUUUAGUUGUUGGUGUCAUCCUAAGUGACCUCUGGGGGCAGAGGAGGGUGGUCUGAAAACCAGCUGAAACACAAGUUUACAUUUGCUCCAGGUACCCUUGAUAGGAGCAUACGAUCUGUCUAUCCAUCCCCUUAGAUCAAAACACCCACUGGAUAAAACUUUUAUCCAUUUUCAGACAUUGCAGAUGAAUGAAUAUGUAAUGGCUUAGAAAGAGUCACAAUUCUCACAAUCAAAACUACAAUGACAUAUAUUGCACCCCAGUUAAAAUGGCUUUUAUCCAGAAGACUAGCAAUAACAAAUGCUGGUGAGAAUAUGAAGAAAUGAGAACUCUCAUAAACUUGGUGGGAACGUAAAUUAGUAUAUCUGCAUGGAGAAGAGUAUGGAGGUUCCUCAAAAAUCAGAUUUGACAUACACACAGAAAAAAAACAGAACUAUAUUAUUCAGAAGAGAAAUGAACUAUACAAUUCCUUCUCAAAUAAGGAAGAGAAGGACUCUAUUUGGUAAAGGAGUGGAGUAUGGCAGGAGGCUCAGCUGAGUCGGAGGAAGCCACACUGCCAGGUGUGGGAGUAGCCAAUGAAGACAACAAGCCAAAACGAGAAACAGUCAAGCCUCCCAUCACUUAUUGCCAUAAUACAAGCAAGAGGCUAACCUGGAGAAAUCACCAUUUCCCCUGUUCCGUGUCCUCCCCAGGAAUGGCACCAGAAGAGGGUCAGGAGGAAUAGUUCAGGCGUGAAAAUUAUAUCAAUUGAAGUGAGACCGGUAGACCUCUCGACAUAUAACGACUCAGCGAUUCCAUCCAAACCCCUGCACUAAGAGAUGACCAAACUCUAGAAUGGCUUCUAUAAUAGCAGUAUAAGGCUGUGUUCCUGGGAUGACCCCAGCUCUCCCCCUACUCUACAUCCUCCCCUUUCCCCUUAUAAUGUCGGCCUGAGAAAGCUCAAUGUUGCCAAAUGAAUUUACUAUUUGUUCCAUCAAAAACCUGCUGAUAAGCAGAUAGGCUGUGGAAAACCAUCUUGGAGAAGCUACUUCAAAAGACUGCUCCAUUCAGGCUGCUAUAACAAAUACCAUCGACCGUGUGGCUUUUAAGAAACACAAAUGUAUUUCUCACCAUGCUGGAGGCUGGAAGUCUGUGAUCACAGUGGUGCCUGUUGAGAGCCCUCUUCCAGGUUGCAGGCUGCGGUCUUUUCAUUGUAUCCUCACAUGGUGAAAGGGAUAAGGAGGUUUUCAGGUGUUUCCUUUGUAAGGGUUGUAAUCCCAUUUAUGAGGACUCUACCCUAAUAAUCUCAUUAACUUCAAAGACCUCACUUCUUAACACCAUCAUAGUGGGAAAGAGGUCUCAACAAAUAAAUUUUAGAAGUACACAAAUGUUCACUCCAUAGGCAGCUUGCAAUUAUGUAUCUUUUUUUUUUAAUCUCUUGUAAUGGACGUGAAGCUAACACUCUAAACUGUUUCUUCAAGGACCUGAGAGCUAUCUCUGAAAUGCAAACAUUCAGGGAGAUAACUUGUUCUUUCACCCAGUCUCUGUGGGAGGACGGGGACUAACUCCUGUGGGUCUGUGCCUCCUUGUCACCUGUCAUUAUCCCUAGGUGAUGAGAUGGCUCACUAGAAUUAUCUCCAAAAAGCAAAAUUAAAAAUGAAACAGGGUACCAGGAUGAGUAAAACACAGCUUAUCUUGGGUUUCUAGUAUCAUCUAAGGGAGUUACUGAAACACACUACUAAUGCCUCAUGAUACUAGAUAAAAUUUAUUGGGGAUAAAUCAAGAAGGGAUGUAGCACAGUGCAUGCUUUUCCUUAUUAUUCUACAGCCUUAUGUUGGACAUAGUUGUUCUUUAUGCAGUUUCACUGAGAUCACAACAGAUAUAGUUUGGCUCUGUAUCCCCACCCAAAUCUCAUCUCGAAUUAUAAUCCCCGUGUGUGGAGGAAGGGAGGUGGUUGAAUCAUGGUGUUGGUUUUCCUCAUGCUGUUCUCAUGAUAGUGAGUGAGCUCUCAUGAGAUCUGAUGGUUUUAUAAGUGUGUGGAAAUUCCUCCUUCACUCUCCUCUCUUGCAUGCUGCCAUGUAAGAUGUGCCUGCUUCCCCUUCUGCCAUGAUUGUAAGUUUCCUGAGUCUUCCCCAGCUGUGAGUCAAUUAAACCUCUUUUCUUUAUAAAUUAUUCAGUCUCGGGUAUGUCUUUAUAGCAGUGUGGAAAUGUACUAAUUCA